AUGUUGAGGACUGUGACAUAGAGCACUGGCCGUUGAAUAAAUUCCGGCCAGUGCUCAUGUUACAGUUCCCACCAUU
Nicotiana attenuata is the source of this 76-nucleotide microRNA precursor. It matches the Rfam family "MIR6145 microRNA precursor family". Lineage: Eukaryota; Viridiplantae; Streptophyta; Magnoliopsida; Solanales; Solanaceae. The record is from Rfam.